This 905-nucleotide ribosomal RNA is filed under the name uncultured bacterium. RNAcentral's name for it is "bacterial SSU rRNA". It matches the Rfam family "Bacterial small subunit ribosomal RNA", at positions 8 to 903 of the family's 1533-position model. The record is from RNAcentral.
AGAGUUUGAUCAUGGCUCAGAUUGAACGCUGGCGGAAUGCUUUACACAUGCAAGUCGAACGGCAGCAUAGAGAGCUUGCUCUCUGAUGGCGAGUGGCGAACGGGUGAGUAAUAUAUCGGAACGUACCUAGUAAUGGGGAACAACCAGCCGAAAGGUUGGCUAAUACCGCAUACGACCUACGGGUGAAAGCAGGGGAUCUUCGGACCUUGCGUUAUUAGAGCGGCCGAUAUCUGAUUAGGUAGUUGGUGGGGUAAAGGCCUACCAAGCCGACGAUCAGUAGCUGGUCUGAGAGGACGAUCAGCCACACUGGAACUGAGACACGGUCCAGACUCCUACGGGAGGCAGCAGUGGGGAAUUUUGGACAAUGGGGGCAACCCUGAUCCAGCCAUUCCGCGUGAGUGAAGAAGGCCUUCGGGUUGUAAAGCUCUUUCGCAAGAGAAGAAAUCUUACUAUCGAAUAAAUAGUAAGGAUGACGGUAUCUUGACAAGAAGCACCGGCUAACUACGUGCCAGCAGCCGCGGUAAUACGUAGGGUGCGAGCGUUAAUCGGAAUUACUGGGCGUAAAGCGUGCGCAGGCGGUUUUAUAAGUCAGAUGUGAAAUCCCCGAGCUCAACUUGGGAACUGCGUUUGAAACUGUAAGACUAGAGUGUGUCAGAGGGGGGUAGAAUUCCACGUGUAGCAGUGAAAUGCGUAGAUAUGUGGAGGAAUACCAAUGGCGAAGGCAGCCCCCUGGGAUAACACUGACGCUCAUGCACGAAAGCGUGGGGAGCAAACAGGAUUAGAUACCCUGGUAGUCCACGCCCUAAACGAUGUCUACUAGUUGUUGGUGGAGUAAAAUCCAUGAGUAACGCAGCUAACGCGUGAAGUAGACCGCCUGGGGAGUACGGUCGCAAGAUUAAAACUCA